AGGAAUAUUGGUCAAUGGACGAGAGUCUGAACCAGCCAAGUAGCGUGAAGGAUGACUGCCCUAUGGGUUGUAAACUUCUUUUAUACGGGAAUAAAGUGAGGCACGUGUGCCUUUUUGUAUGUACCGUAUGAAUAAGGAUCGGCUAACUCCGUGCCAGCAGCCGCGGUAAUACGGAGGAUCCGAGCGUUAUCCGGAUUUAUUGGGUUUAAAGGGAGCGUAGGCGGACGCUUAAGUCAGUUGUGAAAGUUUGCGGCUCAACCGUAAAAUUGCAGUUGAUACUGGGUGUCUUGAGUACAGUAGAGGCAGGCGGAAUUCGUGGUGUAGCGGUGAAAUGCUUAGAUAUCACGAAGAACUCCGAUUGCGAAGGCAGCCUGCUGGACUGUAACUGACGCUGAUGCUCGAAAGUGUGGGUAUCAAACAGGAUUAGAUACCCUGGUAGUCCACACAGUAAACGAUGAAUACUCGCUGUUUGCGAUAUACAGUAAGCGGCCAAGCGAAAGCGUUAAGUAUUCCACCUGGGGAGUACGCCGGCAACGGUGAAACUCAAAGGAAUUGACGGGGGCCCGCACAAGCGGAGGAACAUGUGGUUUAAUUCGAUGAUACGCGAGGAACCUUACCCGGGCUUGAAUUGCAACUGAAUGAUGUGGAGACAUGUCAGCCGCAAGGCAGUUGUGAAGGUGCUGCAUGGUUGUCGUCAGCUCGUGCCGUGAGGUGUCGGCUUAAGUGCCAUAACGAGCGCAACCCUUAUCGAUAGUUACCAUCAGGUGAUGCUGGGGACUCUGUCGAGACUGCCGUCGUAAGAUGUGAGGAAGGUGGGGAUGACGUCAAAUCAGCACGGCCCUUACGUCCGGGGCUACACACGUGUUACAAUGGGGGGUACAGAAGGCAGCUACACGGCGACGUGAUGCUAAUCCCGAAAGCCUCUCUCAGUUCGGAUUGGAGUCUGCAACCCGACUCCAUGAAGCUGGAUUCGCUAGUAAUCGCGCAUCAGCCACGGCGCGGUGAAUACGUUCCCG
RNAcentral lists this ribosomal RNA (1016 nucleotides) under uncultured bacterium. Its description in RNAcentral is "bacterial SSU rRNA". It matches the Rfam family "Bacterial small subunit ribosomal RNA", at positions 357 to 1376 of the family's 1533-position model. The record is from RNAcentral.